Felis catus (domestic cat) is the source of this 4473-nucleotide long non-coding RNA. RefSeq lists it as uncharacterized. The transcript is spliced from 5 exons. Lineage: Eukaryota; Metazoa; Chordata; Mammalia; Carnivora; Felidae. The record is from RefSeq and is a predicted model, not a curated record.
GAGCAAGGUUCCCCUCGGAUGGAGGUGGUUCCUUCGGCUGCUACACAGCUGCACCUGAGGCGUCCGCCAGGGCAGCAAUCGAGGCUCACGCAGGAGAAAACGGGAUCCAGAGAAUGAUUCCCAAAACUGCUUAUCUGUGGGUCAUAGAAAGACAAGAUGGAUUUUACUGCAAAAAGGUUGUUGCCUGGUUCAGUUCCAAGUCUGGAAUGCAUGAAGGAAAAAGAAACCAGGAGAAUUCACCAACAUGUUGAUCCUUGUAUCCCAAGGUCUCUGCUGUGCUUGCCCCAUACAAGAAAGGCAAUGAAAAUAUUUUGAGAGGUUAAAGGUAUGACAGAUUCAGAAUUCUACAUUCCAAGGUAAAAAGCAAUUCCUUUUCUUCUGCCCUCCAAACUUCUUAAUGAGAGGCUAAUAGGAUCAAGAAGGAUUUGAUAAAACUGAAACAAAUCCCAUGAGACUGAGAUUUGUCUGCUUCUCCCUCCUCUGCUUCUCCUUGAUCUGCAAACAUUCCACACAGAAGGGCAGCAGCUAAGUCACAUCUUCCUCUUGCUCAGAUUCAGCCCUCCCCCUCUUUUUCUGAGGUCUUCCGUCAUUUAGGAAAUUAACUGAAAUAAUGAAACAUUCCCUGUGAAUAGUCCUGUAAAUGCUACUAGUCUAGUCAUUUAGAGCAAUAGCUCUUCAUCUCUGUAGGGGAAACAAGAAGUGAGUGGAGAGGGGUUUGAGGAGACAAUAAAAAUGACCAGCUAAAUCUCAGAUUUUUUUUUUAAAUUACCAAAAAGAAAAGAAAAGAAAGAUUAACUGUUUUCUCAAUGGUGGAGCCUUCCAGGAGACCAAAUAAGUCUUCUAUAAACUGAUUUGCCUUCCUGACUGUGAUUUACCAGACUGACACCUAAUUUGUUCUGAGCACAGUUGAUGCCUCAGACACAAUGGCGGAUGACAGCCCACAUAACCUCUCUUUCAGCUUUCAUCUCAUAUAUUCCAUUUGAAGUUGAGUUCCGACAAGAGAGAGGCACAGAAUUAAUAUUACCUUGGAUCAGCUCAGUCUCCAGAGGGAGCAGCAAAAGCUUUUCUGGAAACAAUAAACCCUUUAAACAUGACAGGGGGAAUGGGACCUUAGGAGGUCUCUGAAAGUAUCCAUUAUUAAAGAAAAGAGGGGGGGGGAUCCUCGUGGACGACUUUGAUUUUUUUUUUCACAGCAAAAGCAGUGAUGAACUGGUGCCAGUUUUACAUACAAAUUUAAAGAUCUGGGAUGGUUUAUGCUAAAAAUCUCUCUUUCCCCUGUCCCUUAACACAAGCAGUAGGGAGAAAGAAUUCAUUAUGAAUCAGGUUUGUUAUGACAUUGAUACUCCCUUCUUGUUUAAUCUUCACUAAAAUAAAAUAAAAAUAAAAAUCGAUAACAACUUCAGCAAUAAAAUUCAGAGGUAAAAUACAUUAUACAUGAUCACAUAUAUAGAGUCAAAUUUAAUUAUCCAAAUGUACACAUAAGGAGUAUGUAUGAGUCUCAAGAAACAGAGAUUUUAAUUGAAAGUUAACCAUGUGAAUUUCCAUGAGAUUCAAACAGGAAAAAAAAUCACAUACAUAUGCAUAUAUACAUAUGUGUGUAUUAAUGGAUUUAUAGUUUAGAGUAGUGUGAUAGUUCAUUACAAUUAAAAAUAAGUGUAUUUACUCGGCACUUAGUACAGAUGGUCUGAUAUUUUUCAAAACAUUUUUUGUUUAGUAAUUUGUAAUAGCUUCUCUAUGAUAUUUAAGGAAAUAAAAGAGGUAGCUUCAGUAUAAUAUUGUUGAACCUGGAGCCAAAAAUCCUACUUGUGCAAAUUUUCUGGGCAACAAUAGCAUUGUCUAUAAAAUGGAUAUAAUAAUAUUUAUCUCAAAACAUCUUAGGAGAAUCAAGGGAGUCAUUUAUAGGAGUUGUUAUAGAUAACUAGUGCUGAGGCACACUGGAACUCAGAUUUAGGAUGAUGGGUACAUGGGGCUGAGCAUGGGCUUGGUUGGGCUAAGAGGCAGAAUGAAAAGGUCUUGAAGUCCAGCUUCCACAUGGUGCUUAUCAGUGCUAUAAGAAGAAGGGCCAGUGUUGGUGUCUCACUAGAGCUGGGGAAACUGAGUAUUUUAAUUAUCUAUUGCAGUAUAACACUUUACCUCAAAAUGUUAUGACUUAGAUACACAGGCAUUUAUUAUCUUACAAUUUCUGUGGGUCAAGAAUCCAAGCAAAAUAUAACUGCAAGCCUCUGACUCAGGAUCUUUCACAGGCUGUAGUCAAGGUAAUGGCCAGGACUACUCUCAUCUCAAGGCUGGACUGGAAAGGAUAUGCCUCCAAGCUCUGUCACUUGGAUGGUGGCAGGCCUCAGAACAUCUUCGUCCAAGCUCAUUUGGCUAACUGUGGAUAAGCCUCAAUAGACAUAAUUUCCUGCCUACACACAACAUGGAAGCUUGCUUCUCCAAGAGUGGUGGCUCAGAGAAGUCAGUCUGUUUGUAACUUAAUCUUCAAAUUGAUAUCCAUUACUUCUUAUGUAGUCAGUUUGUUAUUCAUUAGGUCCAGCCUACACUCAAGGGAAGAAGGUUACAGAGGACCAAAAACAAACAAACAAACAAACAAACCAACCAAAAAACAAAAAGAGGGGCAAGGGUCCAUGGGGCCAUUUAAAGGCUGCUUACUACACUGGGUAACAAUCAGAGGCUUGGAAGAACCUGAUGGAGAGCACUCUGGAAACUCCUGAAAAGGUCAACUCUCAAAGAACAGGAAAGUAAAUCAUAUAAGUUCAGGGGUUAGGACUUAAGUUCCCUGCCAUCAUGGCCCACAAAGGAAGGGAGAUGUUUUAAGCACUUGGAAGUCAGAAGGAGCUUUUAAUGAUUUUAACAUUUUCCAGCCUCCCUUUGUUACUAGAAGACUUGUUAUUUUUGAGAAUCUUAUUUAACUCAGUUUUAAAAAUUAGAUAAUGGAGAUAUGAAUUCCCUAGUUGAAAGCUGAGGAGAAAGUCUGUGGUAUGUCCAAAUAGUUUGAUACAACGCUAGACAGUGGGUUAAGCUAGGUCUGGAACCCAAGUGUCAGUGGGUUAAGCUAGGUCUGGAACCCACAUGAUUGCUAGCCUGCUUCCUUUUAAGGUUGCCACACCCUCCUUAAUGUGAAAGACACAUGACCAUGCAGAGCAGACCAUUCCAUGGCAUAAACAUCUGUACUGGUGCUUGGGGUUUAUUCAUCAGGCACAGGGGAUCCUGGCAGAGAUGUUUUUAACAUCUCACUAUGGAACCCAUGAGACAGGUCAUUCAAUACAGAGUUGCUCAAGAAGUGCUUUGCAAUUUACCCUCACUUACUGGGUGCAAGGAACUGGAAUACAACUGAAUUCAGUCAAGUGCUCAAAUACUGCACCCCGAGAAUUUUUCUUUGAGGAGAAAGAAGCUGAUUACAGUAAAAUGAGCUGAUGUUGGCAAUUUUUCUCAAAAAAACACUUCCUGGCUAUGACCUGAGGUUGGGACAUACUAACUGAAUUUCUUACACACUUAAUUGAUGUCCCUGAGGGAUCACAAACUUACUCAUUUAUUCAAGGAAGAUUCAGUGAUAUUAACCAGAUAGGAAUUAAUGAGGCAAGAACAUAGAACCACACAUUUGAGAAAGUUUUCCACAGCCAAAUGGGAUUCAAGGUAAUUGGGGUCUGGGGGUAGACCUGUUUCCCAGACUAAAGUAAAAUAAGAUGAAAUCACCAGAGACUACCAUAAAGGAUGACCUAUAUGUGAAGAGCCAAUCUCUUAAAUAUAUUUAGUAGUUUUAAUUUCUUCAGGUUAAAAGUAAUACCAUUAAGGAUCUAAAAUUCAGUUAAAUUAAACUAACUGUAGUUUAUUUUGUUAAGCCAUGCCUUAUUUUUUACAAAAUAUUUUUAUAUACAUUAUAUCCAGCUAACUUCGGACAUAGGCAUUUGCCCAUUACAAAAGCUUAUUCGAACUUUUCCCAGGUGAACAACUUUGUCUAGAUUUCUCUUGCUCAUUACCAUACUACCUAACCAUACUUCUCCUGACACACACAUACACACAUGCUCUUCCCCUGGGCAACUCCUGCUUCCACUUCAGAUCUCAGCUUAGCCCUUACUUCCUCUAUAGUCAUUCACAUCCUGAACUGAACCUUAGAAUCAACUUCAACUGGAAAGGCCAUCCCCAGACCAAUUAUGUCAGGAUCACUUGGAAAAGAGCCAAGCACCCAUAUAUUUUUAAAGUUCCCCAGGAGAUUUCAAUGUACAUUCAAGGUUGAAAACCACUGCUUCAGAUCUAUAAAUCUGAGUAAUAAACUAGAAUUGAAAGGUUUUGCAUUGGAGCAGGCCUGGUUUUAGUCAGACCCAGGCAAACCAGAACUUAAAUGUAUUCUAUCUUGUGAAGUUCCCAGAUCCAUUUCCCUGGACUGUGAGUAGCUAUUGAACAAGGACUACUAUAUGCCUUUUGUUUUUAUUAUUUUUAAAAAAAUUUUUUUUUUCAAUGUUUAUUUAUUUUUGG